ACGAACGCUGGCGGCGUGCCUAACACAUGCAAGUCGAACGGAGUUAAGACUUCGGUUUUAACUUAGUGGCGAACGGGUGAGUAACGCGUGAGAAACCUACCUUUCAGUGGGGGACAACAGUUGGAAACGACUGCUAAUACCGCAUAAUGUAUUUUGACCGCAUGAUCGAAAUACCAAAGCUUUAUGUGCUGAAAGAUGGUCUCGCGUCUGAUUAGCUAGUUGGUGGGGUAACGGCCUACCAAGUCAACGAUCAGUAGCCGAACUGAGAGGUUGAACGGCCACAUUGGGACUGAGAUACGGCCCAGACUCCUACGGGAGGCAGCAGUGGGGGAUAUUGGACAAUGGGGGCAACCCUUAUCCAGCGACGCCGCGUGAGGGAAGAAGGUUUUCGGAUUGUAAACCUCUGUCAGUGGGGACGAUAAUGACGGUACCCACGGAGGAAGCCACGGCUAACUACGUG
RNAcentral lists this ribosomal RNA (460 nucleotides) under uncultured bacterium. RNAcentral's name for it is "bacterial SSU rRNA". It matches the Rfam family "Bacterial small subunit ribosomal RNA", at positions 29 to 507 of the family's 1533-position model. The record is from RNAcentral.